CGCGUAGACGGGAUAAUAAGUUAGUUGUGAAAUACUUCGGCUUAACUGAAGAAAUGCAACUAAAACUGAUAUUCUUGAGUGCAGGAGAGGAAAGCGGAAUUCCUAGUGUAGCGGUGAAAUGCGUAGAUAUUAGGAGGAACACCAGUGGCGAAGGCGGCUUUCUGGACUGUAACUGACGUUGAGGCGCGAAAGUGUGGGGAGCAAACAGGAUUAGAUACCCUGGUAGUCCACACCGUAAACGAUGGAUACUAGGUGUAGGGGAGAUUAACUCUUCUGUGCCGUCGUAAACACAAUAAGUAUCCCACCUGAGUAGUACGACCGCAAGGUUAAA
Molecule: ribosomal RNA, 331 nt
Filed under: uncultured bacterium
Lineage: Bacteria
Description: bacterial SSU rRNA
Rfam family: Bacterial small subunit ribosomal RNA
Source: RNAcentral